GAUGAACGCUGGCGGCGUGCCUAAUACAUGCAAGUCGAGCGAACGGACGAGGAGUUUUCUCCUCUUCCGUUAGCGGCGGACGGGUGAUUACCAGGAGUAUAACCUACCUAUAAGACUGGGGUAACUUCGGGAAACCGGAGCCAAUACCGGAUAAGAUAUUGAACGUCAGGGUUCAUUAGUGAAAGAGGUUUUUGCUGACCCUAGUAGAGGUUUCCGCGCCGCAUUAGCUAGUUGGUAAGGUAACGGCUUACCAAGGCAACGAUGCGUAGCCGACCUGAGAGGGUGAUCAGCCACACUGGAACUGAGACACGGUCCAGACUCCUACGGGAGGCAGCAGUAGGGAAUCUUCCGCAAUGGGCGAAAGCUUGACGGAGCAACGCCGCGUGAGUGAUGAAGGUCUUCGGAUCGUAAAACUCUGUUAUUAGGGAAGAACAAAUGUGUAAGUAACUAUGCACGUCUUGACGGUACCUAAUCAGAAAGCCACGGCUAACUACGUG
Molecule: ribosomal RNA, 497 nt
Filed under: uncultured bacterium
Lineage: Bacteria
Description: partial 16S ribosomal RNA
Rfam family: Bacterial small subunit ribosomal RNA
Source: RNAcentral